CUUUCUUGAACCAAGAACAAAUGAAAUAGUGCAAAUUUUGGAGGUGGGUUAGCAAGAAUCGAUUUCACACAGUUGAAGGUGAGCUUUAUAAAUUGAAAAUUAUAGAUUUGUUGUUAUUUUCUAGUUGUAUACUAUGAGAAAAAUCAAUUGGGUAAUUAAAAUUUGCUGUAAAAUAUUGAAACGGAAUGGUGCCGUUUCUCAGUAGUUGGGUGCCCUUUUUUCCCAGCUGACUACCGUUUUAAUAAGACAAUGGAGGUAUUGAUAUACCUGUUGGCAAAUUAGUUGUUUCUCCAUUCUUUUAUAGCAUUUUAUUAUCAUAAAUAAAUUUAAACGGCACAUACACAUUUUAAACUACGAAAUAUCGUUUUAUUCUGCUGAAAUCUGUUAUGUAACAAUAUAAGUAGCCUUUUGUUUGUUAUUGAAGUUGUGAUUUAUAGUAUUCAGUUUUGACAAUUAAUGGAGUAAUAUAUUAUAUAUUUUUUUGUUGAAUUGCAGAUAUGGACUCUGGUGCAAUGAUUGUUAUUUGUUAUUUUGUUAAAUUUGAAAAGAGUGAUGAAGGUGAAUGGAGUUGGAAAUUGAUAGGGAAUGAUGAAGACACCGCAACAAAUAUUUUUGUAUCAAAAACAAUCUCAUAUGCAGAGUUGUAUAACGAAGUCCGAAAAGCAGUUAAGGUUGAUCCCAAUAUGUAUG
Molecule: long non-coding RNA, 690 nt
Filed under: Olea europaea (common olive)
Lineage: Eukaryota; Viridiplantae; Streptophyta; Magnoliopsida; Lamiales; Oleaceae
Description: long non-coding RNA (OEUR_LNC000681)
Source: RNAcentral